Molecule: small RNA, 94 nt
Filed under: Chelonoidis abingdonii (Abingdon island giant tortoise)
Lineage: Eukaryota; Metazoa; Chordata; Testudines; Testudinidae
Description: TUC338 (ENSCABG00000001258.1)
Source: RNAcentral
CAUUAUAGCAGGUAUAGCAUGGGCAGCAGCUAUGGAAGUCUUCCAUCGCCAGCCAGUGUGCCCCAAAUUUAACCUACAAGGACCACCUCUGGGG